AUGUAUGGCGGAGUGUCCCUCGCGGACCUCGAGGUUCCGAUGGUGACGCGGAAGGUGACAGAGGCGAGUCUAUGGCAUAAUAAGAAGAAUCCCCGACUAGGGGGCAGCGGGGACAUGUGCUUCACGGGUCUCGGUGGGCGCAGGGGACUCGGCCUGGAUGACAACAAGGAGGACUUUGAGGCCGACUUUGAAGAAUUCGAGGCCGACUCUAGGGACUCCGAUCUUGAUCUCGGUCUUAGUGGGGUGGAUGAGAAGGAUGACGACGAGGAGGUCAUCGAAAUAAAGCCCGUCGCUGCUAUCAAGAAUCAGUCCCUCUUCCAAGCAAAAAUAAAGAGAAAGAACAAAUUCAGGGGUAUCCGUCAGCGCCCCUGGGGUAAGUGGGCUGCUGAAAUCAGAGAUCCUAGCAAGGGUGUCCGUGUCUGGCUUGGUACUUUCAACAGUGCUGAAGCUGCUGCAAGAGCUUAUGAUGUUGAAGCACGCAGGAUCUAUGGCAACAAGGCCAAUGUUAACUUUCCAGAGGAACCAAUAGUUCCUCAGAAGCGUCGUACUCGCCGUGCUGCUCCUAAAGCACCCAAGCUAAGCGCAUCACGGGAACCUACUGCCAUACCAGUAGUCAACAACCUUGCCAACCCAAAGGCUUUCGUCUACCCAUCUGCUGACUUUGCCUUAAACCAGUCACUUGCUCUGCAUGAGAACAUGUCAUUUGUUCCUGCAAUGAACUCUGAUGCCCCUGUUGAAGCCUCUGUUAUGAAUCUGCACUCUAACCAGGGAAGCAACUCCUUUGGCUACUCUGAAAUGGGUUGGAAUUAUGACACCAAGACUCCGGAUAUAUCAUCCACUGCUCCCAUUUCUACCAUCGCUGAUGGAGUAGAAUCUGCUCUUGUCCAGAGUAACCCCUACAACUCAGUGGUGACUGCUGAAGGAGCUGAAUCUGCUGCGCUCGUCCAGAGUAACACCUACAACUCAGUGGUGCCUCCUGCUAUGGAGAACAAUGAUGUCGAUAUCGUGGCUUUGGUGAGGCUUCUUAUGGAUGAUGGCGUGGUCGAGCCGAUCGAUAGCCUUCUGAAUUUUGAUGUGCCUCAGGAUGUCGUUGGCAACAUGGACAUUUGGAGUUCCGAUGACAUGCCCAUGUGUGGCGAGUUUUCUGAGGGAUCCAAACCUUGUAUAUAG
RNAcentral lists this ribosomal RNA (1170 nucleotides) under Triticum aestivum (bread wheat). RNAcentral's name for it is "partial small subunit ribosomal RNA". The record is from RNAcentral. Lineage: Eukaryota; Viridiplantae; Streptophyta; Magnoliopsida; Poales; Poaceae.